UGUGGAAGACCUUCUUUUCAGCAACUACCCUCCAGUGGUAACUGCUCUAUGGCACACCUGAUGUGACAACUACAGGUCAUGGCAAGAUUUAUUGCCAGCUGAUGAUAGGAUGCUUCUUCCACAUACAAACAGCUUGGGGUAAAAUUUCUCAGCCCAACACAAUGUCUCAGGAUUAAUUUUGUGGAAUCUUUCAGCUGAGGUGCAGUAGGGAUUGUGAGGAAAAUCUCCAUGUUGAGGGGAACUAAUGCUGGAUCAGAACAAGUUGUGUCGUAAUAUG
Long non-coding RNA from Lagopus leucura (white-tailed ptarmigan), 277 nucleotides. RefSeq lists it as uncharacterized. Lineage: Eukaryota; Metazoa; Chordata; Aves; Galliformes; Phasianidae. The transcript has 3 exons. The record is from RefSeq and is a predicted model, not a curated record.